RNAcentral lists this ribosomal RNA (460 nucleotides) under uncultured bacterium. RNAcentral's name for it is "bacterial SSU rRNA". It matches the Rfam family "Bacterial small subunit ribosomal RNA", at positions 47 to 507 of the family's 1533-position model. The record is from RNAcentral.
CUUAACACAUGCAAGUCGAAGGGCAGCACGUCUUCGGAUGGUGGCGACUGGCGAACGGGUGCGUAACGCGUAUGCAACCUACCCUCAACAGGGGAAUAGCCCAGAGAAAUUUGGAUUAAUACCCCAUAGUAUUACAGAUUCGCAUGUUCUGUGAUUAAAGUUCCAACGGUUGAGGAUGGGCAUGCGUGACAUUAGCUUGUUGGUGAGGUAACGGCUCACCAAGGCAACGAUGUCUAGGGGUUCUGAGAGGAUGAUCCCCCACACUGGUACUGAGACACGGACCAGACUCCUACGGGAGGCAGCAGUGAGGAAUAUUGGACAAUGGAGGCAACUCUGAUCCAGCCAUCCCGCGUGCAGGAAGAAGGCCCUAUGGGUUGUAAACUGCUUUUAUACAGGAAUAAACCCCUCUACGUGUAGAGGGCUGAAGGUACUGUAAGAAUAAGCACCGGCUAACUCCGUG